UGAAGCAGGAAAGGAAGGGCAGAUACAGACUGUCUAUGGUAUCUAUCUAUAGAUGGCAUGUACAGGGGGGAGGAAACAUCCACUGGUAUUCUGUUCCAGUGGUAAGGGCAACUGAUAUUAGGAUCUGCAGUAACAGAUAGUGGGGUAGGUCUUAGGGCAGAGUACUUAAUCUACUGUCGGGCAUGGCUUAUGGUUGAACAGGAGUAUUGUCUUCCCCCUUAUCUCCUUUGUUUCUCCUUUCAGGGUGUGUGGACCACCUGGGGAUCUCCAUUCCCACACACAGCAUCCUCUCCCACUGAGGCCAGACAUGGCAGUCCAUUAAGGGAACAGAUUCCAAAGAUAGGCAGCAGCUUUAUGGCCAGUCAGUGCUACAGUUAUUGGAGGACCCUCAUGAAGACUGAGCUGCAUAUCUGCUACAUACAUGUCAGGGGCCUUAGUCCAGCCUGUGUAUCCUAUUUGGAUGCAGUGACUUAUGAUGCUGUGCAUGUGAACUUUACUGGGGAAGAGUAGAAUUUGCUGGAUCCUUCCUAGAAGAGUCUCUACAAAGAUGUGAUGCAGGAAACCUACUUGGACCUCACUGUUAUAGGCCACACUUGGGAAGACUAUCAUAUUGAAGGACAUUGUCAAAGUUCCAGAAGACAUGAAAGGCAAUCUUCAUGUGCAAGCUGAUACACAUAGGCCUCUGAGGAAAUUUUAAUAUGUUCUGGAAGCUCUAAAGAAAAGCAAGAGUGCCGGGCAGUGGUGGAGGACACCUUUAAUCCCAGCACUUGGGAGGAAGAAGCAGGCAGAUUUCUGAGUUCAAGACCAGCCUGGUCUACAGAGUGAGUUCCAGGACAGCCAGUCUCAAAAAAAAAAAAAAAAAAAAAAAAAGAAA
Molecule: long non-coding RNA, 874 nt
Organism: Mus musculus (house mouse)
Lineage: Eukaryota; Metazoa; Chordata; Mammalia; Rodentia; Muridae
Product: predicted gene, 46429
Exons: 3
Source: RefSeq, a predicted model, not a curated record